CCGCGACCCCAGGUCAGGCGGGACUACCCGCUGARUUUAAGCAUAUCAAUAAGCGGAGGA
This 60-nucleotide ribosomal RNA is filed under the name Jurinea moschus. RNAcentral describes it as "partial 26S ribosomal RNA". It matches the Rfam family "Eukaryotic large subunit ribosomal RNA", at positions 1 to 57 of the family's 3401-position model. Lineage: Eukaryota; Viridiplantae; Streptophyta; Magnoliopsida; Asterales; Asteraceae. The record is from RNAcentral.